AGCAGCCGCGGUAAUUCCAGCUCCAAUAGCGUAUAUUAAAGUUGUUGCAGUUAAAAAGCUCGUAGUUGAAUUUCGGGGUUCUACCGUCGGUCGGGCUACCAAGUCUGUACUGGUGUGUAGAAUUUCUACCUUCUGGGGAACCAUCAUGUUAUUAAUUUAGCGUGGUGGGAAACCAGGACCUUUACCUUGAAAAAAUUAGAGUGUUCAAAGCAGGCUUUUGUCUGAAUACAUUAGCAUGGAAUAAUAGAAUAGGACGGUGGUCCUGCUUUGUUGGUUUCUGAAUCACCGUAAUGAUUAAUAGGGAUAGUUGGGGCAUUAGUAUUCAAUUGUCAGAGGUGAAAUUCUUGGAUUUAUUGAAGACUAACUUCUGCGAAAGCAUUUGCCAAGGAUGUUUUCAUUAAUCAAGAACGAAAGUUAGGGGAUCGAAGACGAUCAGAUACCGUCGUAGUC
RNAcentral lists this ribosomal RNA (450 nucleotides) under uncultured Glomeromycotina. RNAcentral describes it as "SSU rRNA". It matches the Rfam family "Eukaryotic small subunit ribosomal RNA", at positions 569 to 1025 of the family's 1831-position model. Lineage: Eukaryota; Fungi; Glomeromycota. The record is from RNAcentral.